AUUGAACGCUGGCGGCAUGCUUUACACAUGCAAGUCGAACGGUAACAGGUUAAGCUGACGAGUGGCGAACGGGUGAGUAAUGCAUCGGAACGUGCCCGGUCGUGGGGGAUAACGCAGCGAAAGCUGCGCUAAUACCGCAUACGAUCUGAGGAGGAAAGCGGGGGACCGUAAGGCCUCGCGCGAUCGGAGCGGCCGAUGUCAGAUUAGGUAGUUGGUGGGGUAAAGGCUCACCAAGCCGACGAUCUGUAGCUGGUCUGAGAGGACGACCAGCCACACUGGGACUGAGACACGGCCCAGACUCCUACGGGAGGCAGCAGUGGGGAAUUUUGGACAAUGGGCGAAAGCCUGAUCCAGCAAUGCCGCGUGCAGGAAGAAGGCCUUCGGGUUGUAAACUGCUUUUGUACGGAGCGAAAAGGUCUCCUCUAAUACAGGGGGCUCAUGACGGUACCGUAAGAAUAAGCACCGGCCAACUACGUGCCAGCCGCCGCCGUAA
RNAcentral lists this ribosomal RNA (493 nucleotides) under uncultured bacterium. RNAcentral describes it as "partial 16S ribosomal RNA". It matches the Rfam family "Bacterial small subunit ribosomal RNA", at positions 29 to 523 of the family's 1533-position model. The record is from RNAcentral.